RNAcentral lists this ribosomal RNA (334 nucleotides) under uncultured bacterium. RNAcentral's name for it is "partial 16S ribosomal RNA". It matches the Rfam family "Bacterial small subunit ribosomal RNA", at positions 338 to 669 of the family's 1533-position model. The record is from RNAcentral.
CCUACGGGAGGCAGCAGUGAGGAAUAUUGGUCAAUGGACGGAAGUCUGAACCAGCCAUGCCGCGUGCAGGAAGACGGCUCUAUGAGUUGUAAACUGCUGUUGUACAAGGGGAAACCUGAAUACGUGGAUGCAGCUGAAAGUACGGUACGAAUAAGGAUCGGCUAACUCCGUGCCAGCAGCCGCGGUAAUACGGAGGAUCCAAGCGUUCUCCGGAUUUAUUGGGGUUAAAGGGUGCGUAGGCGGAUUGAUAAGUUAGAGGUGAAAUGUCCGAGCUUAACUCGGGAACUGCCUCUAAUACUGUUGCUCUCGAGCGUAGAUGCGGUAGGCGUACUGU